Molecule: long non-coding RNA, 327 nt
Filed under: Erythranthe guttata (spotted monkey flower)
Lineage: Eukaryota; Viridiplantae; Streptophyta; Magnoliopsida; Lamiales; Phrymaceae
Description: long non-coding RNA (EGUT_LNC001587)
Source: RNAcentral
UUAUCACCCGCUAGAAGAAUCGUUGCAAGAAUCAAUGGAGGAGGAAUUGCUAAAGGUGUUGAAAGGAGCAAAACCGAAGUUGGAGAAGAAAUAUACCGUUCGGAUUUUGGUCUGCGCUCUUCGUCUCGCCGUUCACGGCGUUAAAUACUUCAAUUCCGGCAAACUGAUCUCCGGUUAGUUGAUUAUUUUUAAUUCUCUGUAAUUACGAUUGAUUAUGUUUUUUUUUGUUUUUUUUUUUAUUUUAUUUGAAUCAAAAUUUCUCAACGAAUAAUUUUUCAGAAAAAUCAACCUUCGAAAAAGGUCUCCAAAUUUUGGACGGAGCAUGCA